AUGAUCCCGAACCAAAACUGGACUUCCGCCCAUUUCCCCCCUCUCACUCACCGUGAACAGACCAGCACGGCCGCGCCCAAGUCCUCCCGUAGAAAUAGUUCGGUUCUUGGGUGUUCUAACCAACACCAAAGUCUCUUCACUUUACCAAGGGAUCAACAAGUGAGGAUUUGUGGGUCACUUUUAUUUUUAACGGACCGGUGCCAGAAACACUGCCUCAGCAUUUAUACGUACGUGCAUUUCAAACGAGGGUGCGUACAAUGCUGGAUUUGUUUCACGGCUCCUGUUGGAAAAAAAGGACCUAUUCCUAAAGUCCGUCAUCCACUCACUGAAGAGGGCAAAUCCCAGUUGCCCACAUGCAAGGAGGCUGUCAAACAGAGAAAUCACUGCAGACUGUUGGUACACAGACAUCUGCUGCCCAGCUCAGGAGUAAAGUACCUUUUGUUUUGAUGAGGUGAUGGUGAGGACAGCCACAGCUUCCAUCUGGUAGAGGACUGCUUCCGCUCAGUCUUCCAAAUAGUGAUGAGAACAAGGAUCACCACAUCUCCCUGUUUACCCUACUUUCAUGCAUUUCGUCUGCAAGGCCCUGCAAAAGCUUCUCCUUCGUCCUCAAACCCCCAGACUUCUUAAUUAACUCAGUAACCUAUACAUUGCACAUUGGAGUGUGAAGGUAACAGUUUGUUCUAGCUUUGGAGUAGUGGUGUAUUUUUUUGGUUUACAAUAAAGUUGGCUUUAACUAUUAUGUAUUUCA
Long non-coding RNA from Betta splendens (Siamese fighting fish), 748 nucleotides. Lineage: Eukaryota; Metazoa; Chordata; Actinopteri; Anabantiformes; Osphronemidae. The record is from Ensembl.